AUUGAACGCUGGCGGCAUGCCUUACACAUGCCAGUCGAACGGCAGCAUGAUCUAGCUUGCUCGAUUGAUGGCGAGUGGCGAACGGGUGAGUAAUACAUCGGAACGUGCCCUGUAGUGGGGGAUAACUAGUCGAAAGAUUAGCUAAUACCGCAUACGACCUGAGGGUGAAAGUGGGGGACCGCAAGGCCUCAUGCUAUAGGAGCGGCCGAUGUCUGAUUAGCUAGUUGGUGGGGUAAAGGCCCACCAAGGCGACGAUCAGUAGCUGGUCUGAGAGGACGAUCAGCCACACUGGGACUGAGACACGGCCCAGACUCCUACGGGAGGCAGCAGUGGGGAAUUUUGGACAAUGGGGGCAACCCUGAUCCAGCAAUGCCGCGUGUGUGAAGAAGGCCUUCGGGUUGUAAAGCACUUUUGUCCGGAAAGAAAUCGCACUUACUAAUAUUAGGUGUGGAUGACGGUACCGGAAGAAUAAGGACCGGCUAACUACGUG
RNAcentral lists this ribosomal RNA (490 nucleotides) under uncultured bacterium. Its description in RNAcentral is "partial 16S ribosomal RNA". It matches the Rfam family "Bacterial small subunit ribosomal RNA", at positions 30 to 507 of the family's 1533-position model. The record is from RNAcentral.